AUGACCGUACUUAAACAGGAUCUUUUCUAUAGUACACUCAUUUCUACUUGGUUUUCCAACGUAGACAAUCUCAAUAACUUUGAUGAUCGUAUUAGGCCCCACUCAUUGACUCGGGAUGUCGCAGAGCGCUGAUUGUUCUCUGGAACGGGACGUGCUCUCCUUGAUGAACGUCCGCUGUCGCUAUUCCAAGGCAGCGUGAGUGAGUGCGGGCGAUAUGAGAAGU
RNAcentral lists this small nucleolar RNA (223 nucleotides) under Globisporangium ultimum DAOM BR144. RNAcentral describes it as "Pythium ultimum DAOM BR144 Small nucleolar RNA U3". It matches the Rfam family "Small nucleolar RNA U3". Rfam says of the family: Small nucleolar RNAs (snoRNAs) are involved in the processing and modification of rRNA in the nucleolus. There are two main classes of snoRNAs: the box C/D class, and the box H/ACA class. Lineage: Eukaryota; Oomycota; Peronosporomycetes; Pythiales; Pythiaceae. The record is from Rfam by way of RNAcentral.